This 236-nucleotide unclassified non-coding RNA is filed under the name plant metagenome. Its description in RNAcentral is "partial contains small subunit ribosomal RNA, internal transcribed spacer 1, and 5.8S ribosomal RNA". The record is from RNAcentral.
UUUCCGUAGGUGAACCUGCGGAAGGAUCAUUACCGAGUGAGGGCCCUCUGGGUCCAACCUCCCACCCGUGUUUAUCGUACCUUGUUGCUUCGGCGGGCCCGCCUCACGGCCGCCGGGGGGCACCCGCCCCCGGUCCCGCGCCCGCCGAAGACACCAUUGAACGCUGUCUGAAGAUUGCAGGCUGAGCAUCUUAGCUAAAUCAGUUAAAACUUUCAACAACGGAUCUCUUGGCUCCG